This 506-nucleotide ribosomal RNA is filed under the name bacterium KGJ-3-3. RNAcentral describes it as "bacterial SSU rRNA". It matches the Rfam family "Bacterial small subunit ribosomal RNA", at positions 382 to 879 of the family's 1533-position model. The record is from RNAcentral.
CCUGAUCCAGCCAUGCCGCGUGUGUGAAGAAGGCCUUUUGGUUGUAAAGCACUUUAAGCGAGGAGGAGGCUACUUGGAUUAAUACUCUAGGAUAGUGGACGUUACUCGCAGAAUAAGCACCGGCUAACUCUGUGCCAGCAGCCGCGGUAAUACAGAGGGUGCGAGCGUUAAUCGGAUUUACUGGGCGUAAAGCGUGCGUAGGCGGCUUCUUAAGUCGGAUGUGAAAUCCCUGAGCUUAACUUAGGAAUUGCAUUCGAUACUGGGAAGCUAGAGUAUGGGAGAGGAUGGUAGAAUUCCAGGUGUAGCGGUGAAAUGCGUAGAGAUCUGGAGGAAUACCGAUGGCGAAGGCAGCCAUCUGGCCUAAUACUGACGCUGAGGUACGAAAGCAUGGGGAGCAAACAGGAUUAGAUACCCUGGUAGUCCAUGCCGUAAACGAUGUCUACUAGCCGUUGGGGCCUUUGAGGCUUUAGUGGCGCAGCUAACGCGAUAAGUAGACCGCCUGGGGA